Molecule: ribosomal RNA, 558 nt
Filed under: Ebenavia cf. inunguis
Lineage: Eukaryota; Metazoa; Chordata; Lepidosauria; Squamata; Gekkonidae
Description: partial 12S ribosomal RNA
Source: RNAcentral
ACCGCCCUAAGCGUCCUAAUUCGCGCUGAACUAGGCCAACCCGGCGCAUUACUCGGGGACGACCAAAUUUAUAAUGUUAUUGUUACUGCCCAUGCAUUUAUCAUAAUUUUUUUCAUGGUCAUACCCGUUAUAAUUGGGGGCUUUGGCAACUGACUUGUUCCAUUAAUAAUUGGUGCUCCAGACAUGGCCUUCCCCCGAAUAAAUAAUAUGAGCUUCUGACUACUCCCCCCCUCACUACUCCUUCUACUUGCAUCAUCUGGCGUCGAAGCUGGCGCAGGGACUGGUUGAACUGUAUACCCCCCCCUAGCCGCGAACCUAGCCCACGCAGGCGCAUCCGUAGACCUGGUUAUCUUUUCACUACAUUUAGCAGGCAUUUCAUCAAUUCUCGGGGCUAUCAACUUCAUCACCACCUGUAUUAACAUAAAAGCCCCCACCCUUUCACAGUACAACACCCCACUAUUUGUGUGAUCCGUAAUAAUUACCGCAGUACUACUACUACUUGCUCUGCCCGUUCUCGCCGCCGGCAUCACCAUGCUUUUAACCGACCGAAACCUUAAC